UCAAACAUGGCUUAUUGUUAAUAAUUUUAGGUCAAUCUGCUCAAUGAUUAAUUAAAUAGCUGCAGUAUACCUGACUGUACAAAGGUAGCAUAAUCAAUUGUCUUUUAAUUAAAGGCUGGAAUGAAAGAAUUAAUGAAAUAUAUUCUGUCUCAAUUAUAAUUAAUGAAAUUAAAUUUUUAGUUAAAAUGCUAAAAUAUUUUUAUGGGACGAUAAGACCCUAUAGAAUUUUAUAUUAAUAAUUAAUUAUUUAUUAUUAAUAUUUUUUAUUAGUUGAUUAUUAAUAUUUUAUUGGGAGGAUUAUUAAAUUUAUUAAACUUUAAUUUUAUAAUUUCUAUAAUGUUAGAAUAAAUUAAAGAUAUUUAUUAAAAAUUUAAGAAUAAAUUACCUUAGGGAUAACAGCGUAAUAUUCUUUUGAGAGAUCUUAUUGAUAAAGAUGAUUGCGACCUCGAUGUUGAAUUAAGAUAAAUUUUAAAUGCAGGAGUUUAAAUAUUAAGUUUGUUCAACUUUUAAAAUCUUACAUGAUUUGAGUUCAGAUCGACGUGAGUCAGGUUGGUUC
This 556-nucleotide ribosomal RNA is filed under the name Lanthanomelissa clementis. RNAcentral describes it as "partial 16S ribosomal RNA". The stretch from base 392 to 551 matches the Rfam family "Bacterial large subunit ribosomal RNA", at positions 2473 to 2632 of the family's 2925-position model. The record is from RNAcentral. Lineage: Eukaryota; Metazoa; Arthropoda; Insecta; Hymenoptera; Apidae.